Molecule: ribosomal RNA, 253 nt
Filed under: uncultured bacterium
Lineage: Bacteria
Description: partial 16S ribosomal RNA
Rfam family: Bacterial small subunit ribosomal RNA
Source: RNAcentral
UACAGAGGUCUCAAGCGUUGUUCGGAUUCAUUGGGCGUAAAGGGUGCGUAGGUGGCAUGGUCAGUCGGAUGUGAAAUCCCGGGGCUCAACCCCGGAACUGCAUUCGAAACUGCAGAGCUGGAGUCCUGGAGAGGAAGGCGGAAUUCUCGGUGUAGAGGUGAAAUUCGUAGAUAUCGAGAGGAACACCGGUGGCGAAGGCGGCCUUCUGGACAGUGACUGACGCUGAGACGCGAAAGCGUGGGGAGCAAACAGG